UACGGAGGGUGCCAGCGUUGUUCGGAAUCAUUGGGCGUAAAGGGCGCGUAGGCUGCCGAUCAAGUCGGAUGUGAAAUACCCCGGCUCAACUGGGGAACUGCAUCCGAAACUGCUUGGCUUGAGUCCUGGAGAGGGUAGUGGAAUUCCCAGUGUAGCGGUGAAAUGCGUAGAUACUGGGAGGAACACCGGUGGCGAAGGCGGCUACCUGGACAGAUACUGACGCUGAGGCGCGAAAGCGUGGGGAGCAAACAGG
This 253-nucleotide ribosomal RNA is filed under the name uncultured bacterium. RNAcentral describes it as "partial 16S ribosomal RNA". It matches the Rfam family "Bacterial small subunit ribosomal RNA", at positions 524 to 776 of the family's 1533-position model. The record is from RNAcentral.